UUUGCUUCCUCUGUUUCAGCAAAUCUAAGAAGUCUUGAGAAGUCCCAUUUCACAGACCGGCAUGGUAAAAGAUAUGUGAGUUCCACUACUGACAUCUUGCAAAUCAACAUCUUGGAAAGAAGGAUUGGAAUGUAAGUUUCUCAAAGCUGAAGAAGCAAUUCCGACCUUAUUUUCAUUUAGAGUACAAAUGAAGGUUCGAAAUUAACUACUCCUUUUUCAAGGAAUGAAUUGCAAUUGCUAUAGUACAUUUUUUUUCCAAGUGGUGCCAUUACAUUGUUCUCCAUUGAGUCGAGUGUCGUAGGUAGUAAACAUAUGUGCUGAUUUUUAGAUUUGGCUCUAUGGAAAAUUAUCUCCAUUUCGGUGCUGCUAAUCACCAGUAAUGGGUUUAUACUGUACUCUAUUUUCAUUCUCAAAACAAAGUCACCAGUUAUGGGUUUCUUUUCCUUUUUGGUAAUUAGUUGAACUUCUUGGUGUUUCUUCCCACCUCUUUGCUUCUUGACUUCUACGAAUAUGGAUAUAUCCCUUAUACUGUUAUUGUAAAUGCAGCACAAUAAGCUCUUUCAGUAUCAAGUGGAAUUGAUCUAUUUCAAUAUAUACUUUCUCUUUCUCCCUCGCUUAGUGGCUGCGCAGUUAGUUCUUUCUGUCUCUUUUCUGCAUUGCUUUUCUUUUCUUUUUUUGUCUUGCUUUUUUUGGGGGGUGGGCGAGUGGACUUUGUGAACUAAAGCAUUUCUGUUCUUACAAAAGAAAUAUCUUUCGCUGGCCUUUAAAGUCAUGAAAUAGUGUCAGCUAUCGCACAUGAUGCUACGGAUGCAUUAGCUGCUUCUCUUACAAAGCCUUUGUUUGGUUUCUGCAGAUUUAUGUCGAGUUUCCUGGAUACCUUGAGCCCUUUUAAGUCUUAAAACACAUUAACUAUCUGCAAGAAGACAGAACUUGCUUUAUUACUAAUUAAUUGCUUCUUCAAUAGCUUUGUUACCUACAGUUUAACCUGAGAAAGGAGGACAUAACUCUGCGACAUUGAUUGUACGAAAAGUUCGUCCAUAUAUAUGCUAGAAAAGGAUUUAUAUGGUUAUGUGUUACUGCGGCUGAUUUUUUCUUUCCUCUACAUUGCCGUUACUGUACUCGUUAGUAGUCCAUUUAAUUUUCCCACAAUGAGACAACUAACCAUCUUUUGUUGGUGGACAAGUUGACAUAGUGUAAAUACAUAAACCUAUUAGCAUUUAUUCAUGGAACACACUUCACACACACACAGUAAUAGAUACAGAGUCAAACAGAGAGCUCUUUCUCUUAAAUAAAGUACAGCAUUCACUGAGCAGCAGAAGUUCCUUAUUGUAUAGCUUCUGCCUCUUACUUGUCUGAGGUCUGUAGCUUACUUCAUCAGCAGUUCCCUCUCUUCUGCAAAACCAAGAUAACAUAAUUAUUAGGCUUCAGGAUAUCGUUCUCUAUUAUUGGGGAGAGGAGCAUGUACCCAAGUUUUCAAGUCAGAGCAUUUGUGUUAACCUAUUAAUACACAUUGUAGGCAUUACUUAUCCUCGUUAAUUAUCUUAUAAUGCAUAUCAUUGUUCCCUACAACCUUUAAAAUUUUUGCCCUUCUCGCAGAUAUUAACAAUGAUUAUACCGUGGUCCUUCCGCAGUUUUCAUUGUCGCUCUCAUCACUGCUGCUGCUGCUGCUGUCACUGCCAUCGCUGCAAUUUCCGUCCUUGUUCUUCCUCCUGCUUCUCAUUUGAUCACGCAUCUUAUGCAUGAAAUUCCCUUCCUUUUUCUUUCCACAAGCCCCAGCAUGUGCAGCAGUUGCACUUGUGCCGUGGCAUGCAGCAGAUUGGUGCGUUUUGGUGCCAUGGCAUGCAGCAGAUUGCUGAGUUUUGGUACCAUGGCAUGCAGAUUGGUUAGUUUUGGUGCCGUGGCAUGCAGCAGGUUGGUUAGUUUUGGUGCCAUGGCAUGCAGCAGAUUGCUGAGUUUUGGUGCCAUGGCACGCAGAUUGAUGAUUGUGAUUGUCAUGGUGAAACAUUUUGCCGGUCAUAUCUUUCAUCUUGUCAGCAUAAGAGU
This 2043-nucleotide long non-coding RNA is filed under the name Nicotiana tabacum (common tobacco). RNAcentral's name for it is "long non-coding RNA (NTAB_LNC000034)". The record is from RNAcentral. Lineage: Eukaryota; Viridiplantae; Streptophyta; Magnoliopsida; Solanales; Solanaceae.